ACUGCAUGAGAACAUCUGGGCAAGGUGGAAAACUGAGCUCCCUGGGGAGAGAAGUCACUUCUUGAUCAAGAAUAUGACAUACCUAAGGGACUCAAGAGGCCACAGAUGUACAUGAAGCUUCAGGUCCUGAGAGCUAAAAGCUCCUGUGUCAAGGCAACAUCAUCAUGGAAAUUUACUGCGAAGAGGAGACUCCAGGAGGUGGUGUUGUCUGGGGGCGAUGCUCCCACCUGUCAAGCUCUGAGUCCUACAGAGAGCAUCAGGCUUGCACUCUUCUUGCUCAUCACCUCCUCUGCUGUGGGCCCUUCAGGGCUGGCUUUGAUCCAUUCACAUGCAGUGCAACUGAUUUGUCCUGCUGGAGAGAAUCCAGAUCCAGGGGUCUAAAGAAAGAAAUAUCACCUGAAGGGAGGCCAGGCUUUUCUUGGAAGUGAGCAGCUGUGCCUGGAGAGAGAUGUCUGUCUGGAGAACUUCCAACCCAGCCCAGUUCAGUCCUGGCCACCUCCAGCCCUCUGGGGCUUCCUGUGAAAGGAAUGACUGUCCUCUGAGAUGCUCCACCCAGCAGCUGACUCAGA
Molecule: long non-coding RNA, 569 nt
Organism: Mus musculus (house mouse)
Lineage: Eukaryota; Metazoa; Chordata; Mammalia; Rodentia; Muridae
Product: predicted gene, 34782
Exons: 4
Source: RefSeq, a predicted model, not a curated record